GAUGAACGCUGGCGGCGUGCCUAAUACAUGCAAGUCGAGCGAACAGACGAGGAGCUUGUUCCUUUGACGUUUGCGGCGGACGGGUGUGUAACACGUGGAUCAUCUACCUAUAAGACUGGGAUAACUUCGGGAAACCGGAGCUAAUACCGGAUAAUAUACUGAUCCGUAUGGUUCAAUAGUGAAAGACGGUUUUGCUGUCACUUAUAGAUGGAUCUCCGCCGGAUUAGCUAGUUGGUAAGGUAACGGUUUUUGAAGGGGACGAUGCGUAGCCGACGUGCGAGGGUGGUCGUCCACACUGGAGCUGGAACGCGGUCCAUGCGCCUACGAGAGGCAGCAGUAGGGAAUCUUCCGCAGUGGGCGAAAGCCUGACGGAGCAGCGCCACGUGAGUGAUAGAGGUCUUCGGAUCGUAAAACUCUGUUAUGAGGGAAAAACAAAUGUGUAAGUAGCUGUGCACGUCUUGACGGUACCUGGUCAGAAAGCCACGGCUAACUACGUG
Molecule: ribosomal RNA, 497 nt
Filed under: uncultured bacterium
Lineage: Bacteria
Description: partial 16S ribosomal RNA
Rfam family: Bacterial small subunit ribosomal RNA
Source: RNAcentral